GACGAACGCUGGCGGCGUGCCUAAUACAUGCAAGUCGAACGCUUCUUUCCUCCCGAGUGCUUGCACUCAAUUGGAAAGAGGAGUGGCGGACGGGUGAGUAACACGUGGGUAACCUACCCAUCAGAGGGGGAUAACACUUGGAAACAGGUGCUAAUACCGCAUAACAGUUUAUGCCGCAUGGCAUAAGAGUGAAAGGCGCUUUCGGGUGUCGUUGAUGGAUGGACCCGCGGUGCAUUAGCUAGUUGGUGAGGUAACGGCUCGCCAAGGCCACGAUGCAUAGCCGACCUGAGAGGGUGAUCGGCCACACUGGGACUGAGACACGGCCCAGACUCCUACGGGAGGCAGCAGUAGGGAAUCUUCGGCAAUGGACGAAAGUCUGACCGAGCAACGCCGCGUGAGUGAAGAAGGUUUUCGGAUCGUAAAACUCCGUUGUUAGAGAAGAACAAGGACGUUAGUAACUGAACGUCCCCUGACGGUAUCUAACCAGAAAGCCACGGCUAACUACGUG
This 508-nucleotide ribosomal RNA is filed under the name uncultured bacterium. Its description in RNAcentral is "partial 16S ribosomal RNA". It matches the Rfam family "Bacterial small subunit ribosomal RNA", at positions 28 to 507 of the family's 1533-position model. The record is from RNAcentral.